UGGGGAAUUUUGGACAAUGGGCGAAAGCCUGAUCCAGCAAUGCCGCGUGUGUGAAGAAGGCCUUCGGGUUGUAAAGCACUUUUGUCCGGAAAGAAAUCCUUGGCUCUAAUACAGUCGGGGGAUGACGGUACCGGAAGAAUAAGCACCGGCUAACUACGUGCCAGCAGCCGCGGUAAUACGUAGGGUGCAAGCGUUAAUCGGAAUUACUGGGCGUAAAGCGUGCGCAGGCGGUUUGCUAAGACCGAUGUGAAAUCCCCGGGCUCAACCUGGGAACUGCAUUGGUGACUGGCAGGCUAGAGUAUGGCAGAGGGGGGUAGAAUUCCACGUGUAGCAGUGAAAUGCGUAGAGAUGUGGAGGAAUACCGAUGGCGAAGGCAGCCCCCUGGGCCAAUACUGACGCUCAUGCACGAAAGCGUGGGGAGCAAACAGGAUUAGAUACCCUGGUAGUCCACGCCCUAAAACGAUGUCAACUAGUUGUUGGGGAUUCAUUUCCUUAGUAACGUAGCUAACGCGUGAAGUUGACCGCCUGGGGAGUACGGUCGCAAAGAUUAAAACUCAAAUGAAUUGACGGGGUCAUAGCUGUUUCCU
This 587-nucleotide ribosomal RNA is filed under the name uncultured bacterium. RNAcentral describes it as "partial 16S ribosomal RNA". It matches the Rfam family "Bacterial small subunit ribosomal RNA", at positions 355 to 1375 of the family's 1533-position model. The record is from RNAcentral.